AGCGACGUGGCUUAGUGGGUUAAAGCGCCUGUCUAGUAAACAGGAGAUCACGAGUUCGAAUCUCGUCGGUGCCU
This 74-nucleotide transfer RNA is filed under the name Trichonephila inaurata madagascariensis. It matches the Rfam family "tRNA". From Rfam's summary of the family: Transfer RNA (tRNA) molecules are approximately 80 nucleotides in length. Their secondary structure includes four short double-helical elements and three loops (D, anti-codon, and T loops). Further hydrogen bonds mediate the characteristic L-shaped molecular structure. tRNAs have two regions of fundamental functional importance: the anti-codon, which is responsible for specific mRNA codon recognition, and the 3' end, to which the tRNAs corresponding amino acid is attached (by aminoacyl-tRNA synthetases). tRNAs cope with the degeneracy of the genetic code in two manners: having more than one tRNA (with a specific anti-codon) for a particular amino acid; and 'wobble' base-pairing, i.e. permitting non-standard base-pairing at the 3rd anti-codon position. Lineage: Eukaryota; Metazoa; Arthropoda; Arachnida; Araneae; Nephilidae. The record is from Rfam by way of RNAcentral.